UAACACGUAGGAGGCAAGCGUUAUCCGAAUUUACUGGGCGUAAAGCGCGUGCAGGCGGUUCGGUAAGUUGGAUGUGAAAUCUCCCGGCUCAACUGGGAGAGGUCGUUCAAUACUGUCGGACUAGAGGAUGGUAGAGGGAGGUGGAAUUCCCGGUGUAGUGGUGAAAUGCGUAGAUAUCGGGAGGAACACCAGUGGCGAAGGCGGCCUCCUGGACCAUUCCUGACGCUCAGACGCGAAAGCUAGGGGAGCGAACGGG
This 256-nucleotide ribosomal RNA is filed under the name uncultured bacterium. Its description in RNAcentral is "partial 16S ribosomal RNA". It matches the Rfam family "Bacterial small subunit ribosomal RNA", at positions 521 to 776 of the family's 1533-position model. The record is from RNAcentral.